RNAcentral lists this long non-coding RNA (932 nucleotides) under Homo sapiens (human). RNAcentral's name for it is "HSALNT0360569". Lineage: Eukaryota; Metazoa; Chordata; Mammalia; Primates; Hominidae. The record is from RNAcentral.
AAAGAUCAGCCACGUGGCAGUCAACCAUGUCUAUCUGACCAAGUUCCAAUGAAAACUCUGGACACCAAGGCUUGGGAGAUAUUUCUCAAAAGACUCCUCUGCGGGAGAGGAGAAUAGAGAAAGAAAGAAAACAACUGUGUAAGCAGACAUCAGUGUAAACCUUAGCACUGUCUCUUGAUGAGAUAAGAGGAGGAUGGCAGUGACAGGAGUGUGGUGGCGAGCCAGUCACCUGCAGUCAACCACGGCUCAUUGCUCUCACCAUGCCUGUUACAUGAAGAGGGAGGGACUCCAGGGCUAUGCACAGAGAGAAGGCCCUGUGUGGACACGGUGACAAGGCGGUUAUCUGCAAGCCAAGGUAGAAACAUGAGAGGAAUCCAAUGCUGCUGCCACCUUGAUCUUGAACUUCCAGUCUCCAGAUCUAUGACACAAUAAAUUUCUCAUUAUGUCACCUAGUCUAUGAUAUUUCAUUACAGCAGCCCCAGCUCACUAACAUAGCUUGAUGAAGUCUCUCACCAUCCUGCUCUGCCUCACCCAGGAUGGGAACCAUCCCUUUGUCCAGCACAUUCAUGCUGUAUGCACGGCCCACCCAUUAGUCACUUAGUAGCUGUCUGGGUUAUCAGAUGACUGUUACAAUAUUGCUGUGCUUUUGUACAAGUAACCCUUAUUUUGACUUAAUGUCCCAAAGCACAAGAGUAACGAUGCUGCCAUACUGUUGUAAAUGCUGUUAAUCUCUUACUGUGCCUAAUUUGUAAAUUAAACUUCAUCGCAGGUAUGUAUGUAUAGGAAAAAGCACUGAAAAACUCUCCAGUUUCAGGCAUCCACUGGGGAUCUUGGAACGCAUCCUCCAAGGAUAAGUGGGGUCUACUGUACAACACUUAAGUAUAACCCUCUUCACUAUUAACCAAAUGAUAUUAAAAUAAGCAAAGAAAAAC